RNAcentral lists this long non-coding RNA (576 nucleotides) under Homo sapiens (human). Its description in RNAcentral is "HSALNT0400865". The record is from RNAcentral. Lineage: Eukaryota; Metazoa; Chordata; Mammalia; Primates; Hominidae.
CUUGCCGACUUGCUUCUAAGCAACAGAACACAACAAUACACCUGACCUUUGUGUAACUUCAGAGGUGAGGUCAUAAAAGGCUGUGCAGAACCCACUCAAUGCUACGAGAAGCCCAAGCCCUGUGGAGAGACCAUGGAAGUGGCUUGGGUCAAUAGUCCCAGCAGAGCUGAGCCUUCAAGUCUUCCUAGCCCAGGCACCAGAGAUGGGAGAGAGGAACUCUCCAGGCUCUUGAAGUCCUAAGAGGACCUGGACUGGCAUUCUCCAAGGAACCUGCACCUCUUUUCCAAAGGACCCAGGAACAGAGGACAGCACAGCUGGCAGCUGAGGCCCUGCUGGACUCCUGAGCUGCCCCUCAGGCAUUGUCAUCAGUGUUGCUCACCCAUCAGGGCCAACAGAUGGCUCCAGAUCGCAGCAAAUCCUGGGUUUCACUCUCGUUGCCCAGGCUGGAGUGCAAUGGCAUGAUCUUGGCUCACCACAACCUCCACCUCCCAAGUUCAAGCGAUUCUCCUGCCUCAGCAUGCCGAGUAGCUGGGAUUACAGUGUCUUUAACAAGGAAACCAACAUCUUCCACCUAGA